RNAcentral lists this ribosomal RNA (252 nucleotides) under uncultured prokaryote. RNAcentral's name for it is "partial 16S rRNA". It matches the Rfam family "Archaeal small subunit ribosomal RNA", at positions 475 to 726 of the family's 1478-position model. The record is from RNAcentral.
ACCGGCGGCUCGAGUGGUGGCCACUAUUACUGGGCUUAAAGCGUUCGUAGCUGGUUUGUUAAGUCUCUGGGGAAAUCUUCCGGCUUAACCGGAAGGCGUCUCAGGGAUACUGGCAGACUAGGGACCGGGAGAGGUGAGGGGUACUCCAGGGGUAGGAGUAAAAAGCAGGACUCCGGGGGGGAGCACCAGGGGAGGGGGCGACACACCAGAACAGCACCGACAGUGAGCGACGAAACUUGGAGGAAGAAACUG